UACACUUUGGUAUAAGAUGUACAUUAAUUUUUGAUAUUAAAGGAAACAGUUUGAUCCUGUUAAGUGUAU
Molecule: transfer RNA, 69 nt
Filed under: Chapuisia ellenbergeri
Lineage: Eukaryota; Metazoa; Arthropoda; Insecta; Coleoptera; Chrysomelidae
Description: tRNA-Gln
Source: RNAcentral